CAAGAGGUAGUUUAAUUAAAAUAUAAAUUUUGGAGAUUUAUGAUAAAGGGUUAUCUUUUUUCUUGA
RNAcentral lists this transfer RNA (66 nucleotides) under Exema canadensis. RNAcentral's name for it is "tRNA-Pro". Lineage: Eukaryota; Metazoa; Arthropoda; Insecta; Coleoptera; Chrysomelidae. The record is from RNAcentral.